Non-coding RNA from Brachypodium distachyon (stiff brome), 135 nucleotides. NCBI's taxonomy places the organism in Eukaryota, Viridiplantae, Streptophyta, Magnoliopsida, Poales, Poaceae. The record is from Rfam.
AAUCUACUACUUCCGUCCAACAAAAGAUGUCUAAUUUUAACAAAAUUUGAAUGCAUCUACACACUAAAUUAUGUCUAGAUACAUCUAAAUUUUGACAAACUUGAAACAUCUUUCGUUGGACUGAGGGAGUAUUAG